AAGGGGAAACACGGUAGCUACUGCCUCUAUGUGUGGAGGCAGAUACUACACACAGAUCUCGACCAAUCAGAGAGCCUUCACAAACCAAUUUGAAUUUCCUCAAUUAUGUGCGGUUAUGGUAAAUAGGCAAAUUGGAUAAACAUGAAAACGAAAACUUGCAGUGCUGCUGGGUGCUUGUCAUGAAGCAGGCAAGGAGUCAAAUUCUUCAACUUUCCCAAAGAUCCAGCAUGGGCUGCAGUAUGGGCAGGAAAGGAUGAAAUAUCCAGCACCACUGAUUCUGCUAGACUGCUGCACCUAUGGUAUAACUCUAUGCUUUUGCCGUGAUUGGAAUAAAUUAUCCUGAUAGCUAUUCCCGGCCUUCAUGAAACUAUACUGGAGCUUCUAAAGGGUUCUGACAGUGGUGCAUAGCACUCAGAAUUACUGGGUUUUGGGACAUUUUCCAUUGUCCGGUAU
Cryptotermes secundus is the source of this 453-nucleotide long non-coding RNA. RefSeq lists it as uncharacterized. The record is from RefSeq and is a predicted model, not a curated record. Lineage: Eukaryota; Metazoa; Arthropoda; Insecta; Blattodea; Kalotermitidae. The transcript has 3 exons.